CCUACGGGCGGCAGCAGUGAGGAAUUUUCCGCAAUGGGCGCAAGCCUGACGGAGCGACGCCGCGUGAAGGAUGAAGGCUUUCGGGUCGUAAACUUCUUUUGUGGGGGACAAGUUGAUGAUGGUACUCCACGAAUAAGCCCCGGCUAACUACGUGCCAGCAGCCGCGGUAAUACGUAGGGGGCGAGCGUUGUCCGGAAUUACUGGGCGUAAAGGGCGUGUAGGCGGUUGGAUAAGUCUGGUGUGAAAUGGCGAGGCUCAACCUCGUCGCUGCGCUGGAAACUGUCUGACUGGAGUUCGGCAGGGGUUACUGGAAUCCCCGGUGUAACGGUGAAAUGUGUAGAUAUCGGGGGGAACACCUGUGGCGAAGGCGGGUAACUGGGCCGAGACUGACGCUGAUACGCGAAAGCGUGGGGAGCAAACAGGAUUAGAUACCCGAGUAGUC
This 442-nucleotide ribosomal RNA is filed under the name uncultured bacterium. RNAcentral's name for it is "partial 16S ribosomal RNA". It matches the Rfam family "Bacterial small subunit ribosomal RNA", at positions 338 to 795 of the family's 1533-position model. The record is from RNAcentral.